RNAcentral lists this ribosomal RNA (473 nucleotides) under uncultured organism. Its description in RNAcentral is "partial 16S ribosomal RNA". It matches the Rfam family "Bacterial small subunit ribosomal RNA", at positions 330 to 799 of the family's 1533-position model. The record is from RNAcentral.
CGUACACUCCUGCGGGAGGCAGCAGUGAGGAAUAUUGGACAAUGGGUGGAAGCCUGAUCCAGCCAUCCCGCGUACAGGAAGACGGCCCUAUGGGUUGUAAACUGCUUUUAUCUGGGGAUAAACCUACUUACGUGUAAGUAGCUGAAGGUACCAGAAGAAUAAGCACCGGCUAACUCCGUGCCAGCAGCCGCGGUAAUACGGAGGGUGCAAGCGUUAUCCGGAUUUAUUGGGUUUAAAGGGUCCGUAGGCGGACUGAUAAGUCAGUGGUGAAAUCCGACAGCUUAACUGUCGAACUGCCAUUGAUACUGUUAGUCUUGAGUAAGGUUGAAGUGGCUGGAAUAAGUAGUGUAGCGGUGAAAUGCAUAGAUAUUACUUAGAACACCAAUUGCGAAGGCAGGUCACUAAGUCUUAACUGACGCUGAUGGACGAAAGCGUGGGGAGCGAACAGGAUUAGAAACCCCUGUAGUCCCAUG